Molecule: ribosomal RNA, 274 nt
Filed under: uncultured bacterium
Lineage: Bacteria
Description: partial 16S ribosomal RNA
Rfam family: Bacterial small subunit ribosomal RNA
Source: RNAcentral
AUACGGAGGGUGCGAGCGUUACGCGGAUUCACUGGGCGUAAAGGGCGUGUAGGCGGCAGGGCAAGUCCGGCGUUAAAUCCCACGGCUCAACCGUGGACCUGCGUCGGAUACUGCCCCGCUAGACGGCGGGAGAGGGGAGCGGAAUUCCCGGAGUAGCGGUGAAAUGCGUAGAUACCGGGAGGAACGCCGAUGGCGAAGGCAGCUCCCUGGACCGCCCGUGACGCUGAGGCGCGAAAGCGUGGGGAGCAAACCGGAUUAGAAACCCUAGUAGUCC